UACGAAGGGGGCUAGCGUUGUUCGGAAUCACUGGGCGUAAAGGGCACGUAGGCGGAUUGUUAAGUCGGGGGGGAAAUCCUGAGGCUCAACCUCAGAACUGCCUUCGAUACUGGCAAUCUCGAGUCCGGAAGAGGUUGGUGGAACAGCUAGUGUAGAGGUGAAAUUCGUAGAUAUUAGCUAGAACACCAGUGGCGAAGGCGGCCAACUGGUCCGGUACUGACGCUGAGGCGCGAAAGCGUGGGGAGCGAACAGG
This 253-nucleotide ribosomal RNA is filed under the name uncultured bacterium. RNAcentral describes it as "partial 16S ribosomal RNA". It matches the Rfam family "Bacterial small subunit ribosomal RNA", at positions 524 to 776 of the family's 1533-position model. The record is from RNAcentral.